UGCGCAGCUUAUACAUGCAAGUCGAGCGGAGAUGAGGUGCUUGCACCUUAUCUUAGCGGCGGACGGGUGAGUAAUGCUUAGGAGUCUGCCUAUUAGUGGGGGACAACAUUCCGAAAGGAAUGCUAAUACCGCAUACGUCCUACGGGAGAAAGCAGGGGAUCUUCGGACCUUGCGCUAAUAGAUGAGCCUAAGUCGGAUUAGCUAGUUGGUGGGGUAAAGGCCUACCAAGGCGACGAUCUGUAGCGGGUCUGAGAGGAUGAUCCGCCACACUGGGACUGAGACACGGCCCAGACUCCUACGGGAGGCAGCAGUGGGGAAUAUUGGACAAUGGGGGGAACCCUGACCCAGCCAUGCCGCGUGUGUGAAGAAGGCCUUAUGGUUGUAAAGCACUUUAAGCGAGGAGGAGGCUACUGAGACUAAUACUCUUGGAUAGUGGACGUUACUCGCAGAAUAAGCACCGGCUAACUCUGUGCCAGCAGCCGCGGUAAUACAGAGGGUGCGAGCGUUAAUCGGAUUUACUGGACGUAAAGCGUGCGUAGGCGGCUUUUUAAGUCGGAUGUGAAAUCCCCGAGCUUAACUUGGGAAUUGCAUUCGAUACUGGGAAGCUAGAGUAUGGGAGAGGAUGGUAGAAUUCCAGGUGUAGCGGUGAAAUGCGUAGAGAUCUGGAGGAAUACCGAUGGCGAAGGCAGCCAUCUGGCCUAAUACUGACGCUGAGGUACGAAAGCAUGGGGAGCAAUCAGGAUUAGAUACCCUGGUAGUCCAUGCCGUAAACGAUGUCUACUAGC
This 785-nucleotide ribosomal RNA is filed under the name uncultured bacterium. RNAcentral describes it as "bacterial SSU rRNA". It matches the Rfam family "Bacterial small subunit ribosomal RNA", at positions 43 to 820 of the family's 1533-position model. The record is from RNAcentral.